This 510-nucleotide ribosomal RNA is filed under the name uncultured bacterium. RNAcentral's name for it is "partial 16S ribosomal RNA". It matches the Rfam family "Bacterial small subunit ribosomal RNA", at positions 28 to 523 of the family's 1533-position model. The record is from RNAcentral.
GACGAACGCUGGCGGCGUGCUUAACACAUGCAAGUCGAGCGAGAAAGCGGCUUCGGCCGUGAGUACAGCGACGAACGGGUGAGUAACACGUGGGCAACCUGCCCCAGAGAUUGGGAUAACGUCCCGAAAGGGACGCUAAUACCGAAUAACGCGUGACCUGCCAAGUGGGUCACGCCAAAUGGUAGCCUCGGCCUCUGCUCUGGGAUGGGCCCGCGCCGGAUUAGCUUGUUGGUGAGGUAACGGCUCACCAAGGCGACGAUCCGUAGCUGGUCUGAGAGGAUGGUCAGCCACAGUGGAACUGAGACACGGUCCAGACUCCUACGGGAGGCAGCAGUGGGGAAUAUUGGACAAUGGGCGAAAGCCUGAUCCAGCCAUGCCGCGUGUGUGAAGAAGGCCUUCGGGUUGUAAAGCACUUUAAGCGAGGAGGAAUGGCUGAGGGUUAAUAACCUUCAGCAGUGACGUUACUCGCAGAAUAAGCACCGGCUAACUCUGUGCCAGCCGCCGCAGUAA